UGUUUCGGCUAGGGGGCCAUCCCGGCUUACCAACCCGAUGCAAACUGCGAAUACCGGAGAAUGUUAUCACGGGAGACACACGGCGGGUGCUAACGUCCGUCGUGAAGAGGGAAACAACCCAGACCGCCAGCUAAGGUCCCAAAGUCAUGGUUAAGUGGGAAACGAUGUGGGAAGGCCCAGACAGCCAGGAUGUUGGCUUAGAAGCAGCCAUCAUUUAAAGAAAGCGUAAUAGCUCACUGGUCGAGUCGGCCUGCGCGGAAGAUGUAACGGGGCUAAACCAUGCACCGAAGCUGCGGCAGCGAACGUAUCACUUAAAGCGAUUCAGCGGGUUACGAUUGACGGAGCGAAGCGACGUCAAAGCGUAUACAAAGUCGAGUCGGUUUAAGGAUACGUUCGUUGGGUAGGGGAGCGUUCUGUAAGCCUGCGAAGGUGGCCUGUGAGGGUUGCUGGAGGUAUCAGAAGUGCGAAUGCUGACAUAAGUAACGAUAAAGCGGGUGAAAAGCCCGCUCGCCGGAAGACCAAGGGUUCCUGUCCAACGUUAAUCGGGGCAGGGUGAGUCGACCCCUAAGGCGAGGCCGAAAGGCGUAGUCGAUGGGAAACGGGUUAAUAUUCCCGUACUUGGUGUUACUGCGAAGGGGGGACGGAGAAGGCUAUGUUGGCCGGGCGACGGUUGUCCCGGUUUAAGCGUGUAGGUGUGUGUUCCAGGUAAAUCCGGUUCACUUUAACACUGAGGCGUGAUGACGAGGCACUACGGUGCUGAAGCAACAAAUGCCCUGCUUCCAGGAAAAGCCUCUAAGCAUCAGGUAACAUCAAAUCGUACCCCAAACCGACACAGGUGGUCAGGUAGAGAAUACCAAGGCGCUUGAGAGAACUCGGGUGAAGGAACUAGGCAAAAUGGUGCCGUAACUUCGGGAGAAGGCACGCUGACACGUAGGUGAAGUGAUUUACUCAUGGAGCUGAAGUCAGUCGAAGAUACCAGCUGGCUGCAACUGUUUAUUAAAAACACAGCACUGUGCAAACACGAAAGUGGACGUAUACGGUGUGACGCCUGCCCGGUGCCGGAAGGUUAAUUGAUGGGGUCAGCGCAAGCGAAGCUCCUGAUCGAAGCCCCGGUAAACGGCGGCCGUAACUAUAACGGUCCUAAGGUAGCGAAAUUCCUUGUCGGGUAAGUUCCGACCUGCACGAAUGGCGUAAUGAUGGCCAGGCUGUCUCCACCCGAGACUCAGUGAAAUUGAACUCGCUGUGAAGAUGCAGUGUACCCGCGGCAAGACGGAAAGACCCCGUGAACCUUUACUAUAGCUUGACACUGAACAUUGAGCCUUGAUGUGUAGGAUAGGUGGGAGGCUUUGAAGUGUGGACGCCAGUCUGCAUGGAGCCGACCUUGAAAUACCACCCUUUAAUGUUUGAUGUUCUAACGUGGACCCGUGAUCCGGGUUGCGGACAGUGUCUGGUGGGUAGUUUGACUGGGGCGGUCUCCUCCUAAAGAGUAACGGAGGAGCACGAAGGUUGGCUAAUCCUGGUCGGACAUCAGGAGGUUAGUGCAAUGGCAUAAGCCAGCUUGACUGCGAGCGUGACGGCGCGAGCAGGUGCGAAAGCAGGUCAUAGUGAUCCGGUGGUUCUGAAUGGAAGGGCCAUCGCUCAACGGAUAAAAGGUACUCCGGGGAUAACAGGCUGAUACCGCCCAAGAGUUCAUAUCGACGGCGGUGUUUGGCACCUCGAUGUCGGCUCAUCACAUCCUGGGGCUGAAGUAGGUCCCAAGGGUAUGGCUGUUCGCCAUUUAAAGUGGUACGCGAGCUGGGUUUAGAACGUCGUGAGACAGUUCGGUCCCUAUCUGCCGUGGGCGCUGGAGAACUGAGGGGGGCUGCUCCUAGUACGAGAGGACCGGAGUGGACGCAUCACUGGUGUUCGGGUUGUCAUGCCAAUGGCACUGCCCGGUAGCUAAAUGCGGAAGAGAUAAGUGCUGAAAGCAUCUAAGCACGAAACUUGCCCCGA
RNAcentral lists this ribosomal RNA (1992 nucleotides) under Salmonella enterica subsp. enterica serovar Agbeni. RNAcentral's name for it is "partial 23S ribosomal RNA". It matches the Rfam family "Bacterial large subunit ribosomal RNA", at positions 911 to 2802 of the family's 2925-position model. The record is from RNAcentral. Lineage: Bacteria; Pseudomonadati; Pseudomonadota; Gammaproteobacteria; Enterobacterales; Enterobacteriaceae.